RNAcentral lists this long non-coding RNA (1330 nucleotides) under Gallus gallus (chicken). RNAcentral's name for it is "lncRNA (ENSGALG00010024296.1)". Lineage: Eukaryota; Metazoa; Chordata; Aves; Galliformes; Phasianidae. The record is from RNAcentral.
AACAGGAAGGGGUGGAGCCUUCCCUUUCCAGACCUUAUUUAAGGGUUGGCAGUGGGAGCAAAGUAGUGUUUUGCUAGAGACCUCUGUUAAUCUGAGGACUUCUAAAGAGACAAGCUCUGCAGAUGCAAGUCGUCUGUCAAGCAGUUGCAUUAGAAAUUGUAUCUUGAAGUAAAGAGGAUGCUUUUGGAGAACUUCAUCUCCAGGAUAGCCACUAAUAACAUGGGACAACAGAAGAAUUUGUUUGGGGCUGUUCUCAUUAUCAAGAACUUUUCAGUACAGUUUGAAUGAUUUUUGCUUUCCAUUCUAUUAAUACUACUAUGCUCACUGAAUGUAUUCAACUUUCUCCUUUCCUAUGUAACCACUGAAAGAGUAAGCAUAUCCUGACAGCAAUGCUUAUGUAAUAAUUAGGUAUAACUGUUUAUCAAAUAAGUGCAAAGAUAACUUUUUGCAUCAGCUUCUGUGUUGCUGAUUGAAAGAAGUUUUCUGUUCAACACUUAGAUGGCUAUUUCUAGAACAUACAGCUAUGAUCAAACCAAAGUGAAUAGCUUCAAAAUAUAAUGCACAGAUGACUCCAAUACAGUGCUCCAACCAGAAUUUUAUAUAUAUAUAUAUAUAUUGUAAAUACUAGCAGUUAACAGAAAUCAAGUGGUGAUAACAAGCUCAGACAUCAGGCGAGUUUUCAUGUCAAAAGAUGCCACACAGUGAUGUCAUGCUGCAUCACCAAGAUUAAAAUAAAAAUAGGUGGGAGAUGUAUCUUAAGGUUAACAUCUCAAAAGAAGCAUUGCUGUUUUGUGAGCUGAGCAGUGAUACAUUCCUAGAAGAAUUCAGUAGAAUGAACUUGGGAAUCAAGUGGUGGUAUAAAUCCUUACUUUUGUUGGAGCAGAGGAGACAGAUGAAGCAAUGAGUCUUUCAUCACCACACCAUCAGAGAGACUGAUGCUGCUGUUAAAGUAUGUGAAUCUGCUUCAAUUUUUGAAGUUCACAAAAGAGAUUUGGGGAACAAUAUAUCUUUAAAACCUGGAAUGAUGAAGAACAGAGACUGAAAUGUGAAGCAUUAUUCUAAUGAACAUGGGUGACAGAAUACAGCUUACCAUGGACUAUGCGGUAUUUCUGCUUUUCUAUAUCAAGUUUUCUAUGUCCCCACUUUUCUUAGAAGAUAACUUUUAAGGCCUUUUUACAGCAUCUCCAAAUCAAUAGAUGCAGCUCACGUCAAAUAAUUAAAUUGCUUAAUUCUAUCUGAGCAUUUGAUAUGUUAAAGACAUCUUAUUAUUGAUCUUACAGUUUCCCACAUUCCAUAACUCUACAAUAAAUUCACUUACCCAUUUGGUACC